RNAcentral lists this ribosomal RNA (409 nucleotides) under bacterium. RNAcentral's name for it is "partial 16S ribosomal RNA". It matches the Rfam family "Bacterial small subunit ribosomal RNA", at positions 355 to 776 of the family's 1533-position model. The record is from RNAcentral.
UGGGGAAUAUUGCACAAUGGGCGAAAGCCUGAUGCAGCGACGCCGCGUGAGGGAUGACGGCCUUCGGGUUGUAAACCUCUUUCAGUAGGGACGAAGCGCAAGUGACGGUACCUGCAGAAGAAGCACCGGCUAACUACGUGCCAGCAGCCGCGGUAAUACGUAGGGUGCGAGCGUUGUCCGGAAUUACUGGGCGUAAAGAGCUCGUAGGCGGUUUGUCACGUCGUCUGUGAAAUCCUAGGGCUUAACCCUGGACGUGCAGGCGAUACGGGCUGACUUGAGUACUACAGGGGAGACUGGAAUUUCUGGUGUAGCGGUGGAAUGCACAGAUAUCAGGAAGAACACCGAUGGCGAAGGCAGGUCUCUGAGUAGUAACUGACGCUGAGGAGCGAAAGCAUGGGUAGCGAACAGG